RNAcentral lists this ribosomal RNA (410 nucleotides) under Nocardioides oceani. Its description in RNAcentral is "partial 23S ribosomal RNA". It matches the Rfam family "Archaeal large subunit ribosomal RNA", at positions 1893 to 2498 of the family's 2987-position model. The record is from RNAcentral. Lineage: Bacteria; Bacillati; Actinomycetota; Actinomycetes; Propionibacteriales; Nocardioidaceae.
CCCGCGACCCCCCCCUGGCUCCCACCAACCUCAGCUCACGCCUCACCAGUCGUCGAGGCCCCGCCUGCCAAGUGACAAAUGUUUAACGGGCUCGGGACCCUAACCGUGCAAAGGUAGCAUAAUCACUUGUUCCUUAAUUAGGGACCUGUAUGAAUGGCUCCACGAGGGUUCAGCUGUCUCUUACUUUUAACCAGUGAAAUUGACCUGCCCGUGAAGAGGCGGGCAUGACACAGCAAGACGAGAAGACCCUAUGGAGCUUUAAUUUAUUAAUGCAAACAGUACCUAACAAACCCACAGGUCCUAAACUACCAAACCUGCAUUAAAAAUUUCGGUUGGGGCGACCUCGGAGCAAAACCCAACCUCCGAGCAGUACAUUCUAAGACUUCACCAGUCAAAGCGAACUACUAUAC